Molecule: non-coding RNA, 3024 nt
Organism: Doryrhamphus excisus (bluestripe pipefish)
Lineage: Eukaryota; Metazoa; Chordata; Actinopteri; Syngnathiformes; Syngnathidae
Source: RefSeq, a predicted model, not a curated record
UGCAGGGCACGUGACUCGGACUUGCACUGACAACAACAACAAGCUAGUGAUAAGAAUAUACGAGAGAAUAUGGGGUUAUAACUCGGACAGUCGUUGUAGCAAAGACUUUGUGAGACUUAAGUGAAGUUUUGUGUUUGUUUUUUUGCUGAAAAUGAGUAUCAACGGGAAUGAAAAUACGGAGGUGACCGACGAAACACCUUUGCUGUCAAACCAGAGCAGAUCCAAAGGUGCCUCCUUUGCCUCGUCAGUGUUUAACCUGAUGAAUGCGAUCAUGGGCAGCGGUAUUCUGGGCCUAGCUUAUGCCAUGGCAAGCACCGGCAUAGUUAGCUUCUGUAUAUUGUUGGUACUUGUAUCCAGCCUGGCAGGGUAUUCCAUACACCUCCUCCUCAAGCUUUGUGACCAGACAGGAAUCAAUUCAUAUGAAGAUCUUGGAGGGCGAGCAUUACAAAAACCAGGAAAAGUUCUCGUUGCAGUCGCUAUCCUCAUCCAAAAUGUUGGUGCCAUGUCAUCAUAUUUGUUCAUCUUGAAGUCAGAGCUUCCUGCGACCAUCACCAGCUUCCUGAGUCCGGACCACUCUGGACAGACCUGGUAUCAAGAUGGCAGACUGCUGCUGAUCCUCGUUACUCUAUGCGUCAUCCUUCCUCUGGCAAUAUUGCCAAAAAUUGGUUUCCUGGGCUACACCAGCAGCCUGGCCUUCUUCUUCAUGCUCUACUUUGCCAUUGUGGUUGUGGUCAAGAAGUGGUCAAUCCCCUGCCCACUGCCGCAAAACCUGACCACGUUUUUAGGUGUAUCUCAGGUAUCAAAUUCCUCCGACUCGGAUUGCACACCCAAACUUUUCGUCAUCUCUAGUCGGAGUGCCUACGCCAUCCCCACCAUGGCCUUCUCCUUCCUGUGCCACACCGCCGUCCUGCCAAUCUAUUGCGAACUUGACCGGCCAAAUAAAGCAAGGAUGCAGAAUGUAGCCAAUGUCAGCAUCAGCCUCAGCUUCCUGGUUUACCUCAUUUCUGCCCUCUUUGGCUACCUCACCUUCUAUGCUCACGUGGACUCGGAGCUGUUGCUUGGCUACGAUGCCUACAUGCCGCACGAUAUCCUGGUGAUGACGGUUCGGCUGGCAAUCCUCAUCGCUGUGUUGCUGACUGUACCGCUCAUUCACUUCCCGGCUCGUAAGGCUGUCAUCUUGCUCCUGCGAGGAAAUCGUACCUUUUCCUGGUUGAUCCACAUCGCAACAACUGUGGUCAUCCUCGGAACGGUCCUGAUGCUAGCCAUCCUUGUGCCAGAUAUCAGGAAUGUCUUUGGAGUUGUGGACAGCAGAAUUGAUGCUUCCAUUUAUCACAGCAAGUCUUCCAGGUCUUGACGCAGCAAAACAGCCCCAGACCAUCACACUACCACCACCAUAUUUUACUGUUGGUAUGAUGUUCUUUUUCUGAAAUGCAAUGCUACUUUUACUUUUUGUAAUGGAACACACACCUUCCGAAAAAAUCGACUUUUGUCUCUUCAGACCAGUGGUCGAAACAUCAACCCAUGUCAGCUCUGGUAAACUCUGGAGCAGAGGGUCAUUUUAUAAAUGCCGAUCUGGCAACUAGGGACUAGCUUUGUUGCUAAAGCUCUGAAUGGUCGUCAUCUGGCCACAGUCACCCACCAGACUGAAACCAUCAGGAAGCGAUAUCCUUUUUGCUAUGGCGAACCCCGAAGGAUCCCGUAUUGUUUUUUUUCGUGGCUCAGUCAGCAUAACAGCUAAAUGAACUGGACAGGAGGGGAGAUUCUCCUUCCAGGGACCUCUUUGUUGUACAAGUUGUACAACAUCUUGCGUCCUGACCGUGAAGCUAUGGAGACAUAUAUUAGGGAAUCCCAAACUGCAUGGAUAAUUCAACCCACUUCUUCCCCAGCGGGAGUUGUUGUUUUUUCCUAUGUGGGCAAGAAAAAUGGCACUCUGAGACCCUGCAUAGACUACAGAGGGGAAAACAACAUCACGGUCAAAAAUAAAUACUCUUAUCUCAGCUCACAUCCGCCUUUGAUGCCUUACAAGGAGUCUUUACUAAACAAAACAAUACCAUCUAGGGCGCAUAAGAGCUGAAGAUGAGUUGAAGAUGGCACUCAACACACUCUUGAGGUACCCAAAUGAUGUACUGAGAAGUACUUGAAGAAUAUUGACUUACACAUCUCCCAUGUUUGCCAGGUCCUCCAGCGCUUACUGGAGAACCGACUGUUUGUCAACGCAGAGAAGUGUCUUUUCCACACAGAAUCCGUGUAGUUCCUGGGCUACAAUCGGGGGGAAAAGGCAGUUUCAGUGCAGUGCGGACCUGGAGAAGAUAAGUGGCCUACAGAGCAGACCAGACAUGAUGGACAACAGCAGGGAAGACGAAAUUAAACUUUAAGCAUCAGAAUGGAGAUCAAGGUCAAAGGUGAGAUAAAACUUUGCAAAUAAACAACCACGGUGUGUGGUGUUUUCGGAAGAAUAGGGUUUUUUUUUGUUAUUUUGGUAAAUUGAGGUACUGACAGAGGCCCACUUGUCAACAGACCAGUAUGGGGUUGGCUCUGUUGGUGGCGGUGGUGGGAGAGUGAGGGAGUGAGUUUGUCUCUUCACGAUCCCAUCAGCCCCGGCCUGAGCUCUUAAUGCUGCCCUGACGCCUCACUGGCGCAUGGGCCACGCUGGCCUGCCGCACAUCUGGAGCCAAUUACCCAGGAGGGGCUGUGACAGUCCACACACCCUCGGCUGCUUUGUCCACGCUACAUUCUCAUCAGUCCAUAUCUGUUGUUCUUUCUGCACCACAUCCUUUAUUAUGCAUCUAUCAAAAAGCUCAAGGGUUCCUUUUCUUCUUCCUUGAACUGUUAUCCACUGUUUUUAUUUCUUGAUUUAUGACGGCUUCUGCUUCAGACGCUAUACAGACGUGAUGGUUAGCGUGUGUGAUCGCUCUCGUUGAAGUUCUACCAUCUUUGUUUACACAUUUUGCCUGUCUCCGGUGGCACUAGGUAUCUAGCUAUAGUUAUCCACAGACUCCAAAUUCAUUCAUUUCUACCGCUUUU